This 418-nucleotide long non-coding RNA is filed under the name Dasypus novemcinctus (nine-banded armadillo). RNAcentral describes it as "lncRNA (ENSDNOG00000050326.1)". Lineage: Eukaryota; Metazoa; Chordata; Mammalia; Cingulata; Dasypodidae. The record is from RNAcentral.
CACCCCUUCCAUCUUUAGCCCAUCAGCUGUGCCUGGACCAGGUCUCCUGCGGCUGAGUUCAGAGAGGGAGCAGGGCUGAGCGGAGGCGGCAGAGGGAGGGGCAGAGAAAAUGGUCCGUAGCCACAACGCCAAUCAGCCUCACCAUUAGGGCCUGUGGCAUGAGACCCAGGGCAGUAAGAUUCCCAGGCAGGCAUCCGGUCACAACCCACACCCUUCCCCCCUCUCCUUGUCAUCGGACGCAGCGCCAGGAGAGUGAGUAGCACCAAGUUCUGCCACUGAGCUGCUUACUGUCCGUGCGCCAGGAGAAUCACAGUCAGAGAGACUCAUCACUACCGCCUGAGAGGGACCUGCUGGGGCAGAGGUAGGAAAGCAAGGGUUGGGGCCAUUAGUUCUCCCACCGCAGCAAGAGAGGGCAGUG